Molecule: long non-coding RNA, 242 nt
Filed under: Mytilus galloprovincialis (Mediterranean mussel)
Lineage: Eukaryota; Metazoa; Mollusca; Bivalvia; Mytilida; Mytilidae
Source: RNAcentral
CCCCUAAACAAAUAUAUACUAGUCCAGUGAUAAUGAACGCCAUACUAAUUUCCAAAUUGUACACAAGAAACUAAAAUUAAAAUAAUACAAGACUAACAAAGGCCAGAGGCUCCUGACUUGGGACAGGCGCAAAAAUGCGGCGGGGUUAAACAUGUUUGUGAGAUCUCAACCCUCCCCAUAUACCUCUAACCAAUGUAGAAAAGUAAACGCAUAACAAUACGCACAUUAAAAUUCAGUUCAAG